This 301-nucleotide ribosomal RNA is filed under the name uncultured bacterium. RNAcentral describes it as "partial 16S ribosomal RNA". It matches the Rfam family "Bacterial small subunit ribosomal RNA", at positions 509 to 808 of the family's 1533-position model. The record is from RNAcentral.
CAGUCGCCCGGUAACACGUAGGUGGCAAGCGUUGUCCGGAAUUAUUGGGCGUAAAGGGCUCGCAGGCGGUUUCUUAAGUCUGAUGUGAAAGCCCCCGGCUCAACCGGGGAGGGUCAUUGGAAACUGGGAAACUUGAGUGCAGAAGAGGAGAGUGGAAUUCCACGUGUAGCGGUGAAAUGCGUAGAGAUGUGGAGGAACGCCAGUGGCGAAGGCGACUCUCUGGUCUGUAACUGACGCUGAGGAGCGAAAGCGUGGGGAGCGAACAGGAUUAGAUACCCCCGUAGUCCCUGUCUCUUAUACC